RNAcentral lists this ribosomal RNA (463 nucleotides) under Streptococcus mitis. RNAcentral describes it as "bacterial SSU rRNA". It matches the Rfam family "Bacterial small subunit ribosomal RNA", at positions 28 to 476 of the family's 1533-position model. The record is from RNAcentral. Lineage: Bacteria; Bacillati; Bacillota; Bacilli; Lactobacillales; Streptococcaceae.
GACGAACGCGGCGGCGUGCCUAAUACAUGCAAGUAGAACGCUGAAGGAGGAGCUUGCUUCUCUGGAUGAGUUGCGAACGGGUGAGUAACGCGUAGGUAACCUGCCUGGUAGCGGGGGAUAACUAUUGGAAACGAUAGCUAAUACCGCAUAAGAGUAGAUGUUGCAUGACAUUUGCUUAAAAGGUGCAAUUGCAUCACUACCAGAUGGACCUGCGUUGUAUUAGCUAGUUGGUGAGGUAACGGCUCACCAAGGCAACGAUACAUAGCCGACCUGAGAGGGUGAUCGGCCACACUGGGACUGAGACACGGCCCAGACUCCUACGGGAGGCAGCAGUAGGGAAUCUUCGGCAAUGGACGGAAGUCUGACCGAGCAACGCCGCGUGAGUGAAGAAGGUUUUCGGAUCGUAAAGCUCUGUUGUAAGAGAAGAACGAGUGUGAGAGUGGAAAGUUCACACUGUGACGGU